This 500-nucleotide ribosomal RNA is filed under the name uncultured bacterium. RNAcentral describes it as "bacterial SSU rRNA". It matches the Rfam family "Bacterial small subunit ribosomal RNA", at positions 28 to 518 of the family's 1533-position model. The record is from RNAcentral.
GACGAACGCUGGCGGCGUGGAUUAGGCAUGCAAGUCGAACGGUAGGAUACCUUCGGGUAUCUGAGAGUGGCGAACGGGUGAGUAACACGUAGGUGAUCUACCCUCAAGAUUGGGACAACCCAGGGAAACUUGGGCUAAUACCGGAUGAAAGCAGCAGUGAUGUUGUUUGAAAGGUGGCGUAAGCUGCCGUUUGGGGAUGAGCCUGCGCUCUAUUAGUUAGUUGGCGGGGUAAAGGCCCACCAAGGCGAUGAUAGAUAGGCGGCCUUAACGGGUGGUCGCCCACACUGGGAUUGAGAUACGGCCCAGACUCCUACGGGAGGCAGCAGUCGAGAAUAGUCUACAAUGGCCGAAAGGCUGAUAGUGCGACGCCGCGUGAACGAAGAAGCCCUUCGGGGUGUAAAGUUCUUUUAUAUGUGAGCAGUGCUUCUUAUAUUAACAGUAUGGGGAGAGAGAUAUUAGCAUAUGAAUAAGCAACGGCUAACUCCGUGCCAGCAGCCGAC